GCCAAACCAAUAGCCCUAACCCACACACAAAAUGUUUACUACUAACAAAACUAAAACAUUCGCAAUACCCAGUAUAUGAGAUAGAACGCUACACCUGGCGCCAUAGACACAGUACCGCAAGGGAACCUUGAAAGACUACCAAAAGCACAAAAGCAAUACACAGCAGAACUUAACAACCGUACCUUUUGCAUCAUGGUUUAGCAAGCACAAACAAAUUUAGAGCCCUCAAACUUGCACCCCCGAACCCAGACGAGCUACCCUAGAGCAAUCAUAUAGGAUGAACCCGCCUCUGUAGCAAAAGAGUGGGAUGACUUUAGGGUAGAGGUGAGACGCCUACCGCGUCUGGCAACAGCUGGUUACUCAUUAAAUGAAUACUAGUUCAACUCUAGCACCCCCUCUCCCUAUACACAAACACACCAAGAUAGGGCUAGAAGAUAUACAAUUAAGGUACAGCUCAAUUGUAACUGGAUACAGCCAAUAUUAGAGGCCCAUAAACCACACCAUCAACCAUAGUAGGCCUUAAAGCCGCCAACAAAAAAAACCGCGUCAAAGCAAUAAACCACUAACCCCCACAGCGCAUACAACCCCCUAAACCAAACUGAGUCACUCUGCCAAUAAACAGAGAAGAAACUGCUAAAACUAGUAAUAUGACACCCCUCACCCAUGCAUACCCGUACAUUACCAAUAAUUACCAGACCCCCCCUAACACCAAAACAAGAUAAUUUAACAACAUAACUGUUACACCAACACAGGAAUGCAUACAGACCACGUAUUAAAGCCUCAAAAGGAACUCGGCUAACCGCACCUCGCCUGUUUACCAAAAACAUCGCCUUUAGCCACACAAGUAUUAAAGGUCCUGCCUGCCCAGUGAGCAAAAUACUUUAACGGCCGCGGUAUCCUAACCGUGCAAAGGUAGCGUAAUCACUUGCCCCUUAAUUAGGGGCCUGUAUGAACGGCUAACCGAAGGUGCACCUGUCUCCUGAAGCCAUACAAUGAAACUGAGCCCCUAGUACAAACGCUAGGAUUCCCCCAUAAGACGAGAAGACCCUGUGGAGCUUACAACUAACAACGCUAAAACUACCGCGCACAAAGUCUUAAGACCCACACAUAACUAGAUAUUUAGCGCCACCUUUGAGUUGGGGCGACUACGGAACAAAACAAAACUUCCACGAAACAGGACUAACCGCCCCCUAUAGGCUAACACGCCAACGAGAACCCCACACAUUGACCCAGUAUUACUGAUUAACGAACCAAGUUACCCCAGGGAUAACAGCGCCAUCCCCUUUAAGAGUCCUUAUCGCCAAGGGGGCUUACGACCUCGAUGUUGGAUCAGGACUUCCAGGUGGUGUAGCAGCUACCAAAGGUUCGUUUGUUCAACGAUUAAUGUCCUACGUGAUCUGAGUUCAGACCGGAGAAAUCCAGGUCGGUUUCUAUCUAUGUUCAACUCUCCCUAGUACGAAAGGACCGGGAAAGUAGUGCCAAUAUAACACACACGCACCGACCAAAUAGAUGCAUACAAAUAAACCAAGACCUGAGCCCUCAGUGGGCCCAAAAAGAAUGGUAU
RNAcentral lists this ribosomal RNA (1564 nucleotides) under Cyrtopodion scabrum. RNAcentral's name for it is "16S rRNA". It matches the Rfam family "Bacterial large subunit ribosomal RNA", at positions 366 to 2843 of the family's 2925-position model. Lineage: Eukaryota; Metazoa; Chordata; Lepidosauria; Squamata; Gekkonidae. The record is from RNAcentral.